Molecule: ribosomal RNA, 379 nt
Filed under: uncultured eukaryote
Lineage: Eukaryota
Description: partial 18S ribosomal RNA
Rfam family: Eukaryotic small subunit ribosomal RNA
Source: RNAcentral
CAAUAGCGUAUAUUAAAGUUGUUGCGGUUAAAAAGCUCGUAGUUGGAUUUCUGCUGAGAACGACCGGUCCGCCCUCUGGGUGUGUAUCUGGCUCUUUCUUGGCUUCUUCUUGGUGAACGUUGCUGCACUUGACUGUGUGGAGCGCUACCCAGGACUUUUACUUUGAGGAAAUUAGAGUGUUUCAAGCAGGCAUACGCCUUGAAUACAUUAGCAUGGAAUAAUAAGAUAGGACCUCGGUUCUAUUUUGUUGGUUUCUAGAGCUGAGGUAAUGAUUAAUAGGGAUAGUUGGGGGCAUUCGUAUUUAACUGUCAGAGGUGAAAUUCUUGGAUUUGUUAAAGACGGACUACUGCGAANGNAUUUGCNAAGGAUGUUUNCAUUG